Molecule: ribosomal RNA, 446 nt
Filed under: uncultured bacterium
Lineage: Bacteria
Description: partial 16S ribosomal RNA
Rfam family: Bacterial small subunit ribosomal RNA
Source: RNAcentral
CCUACGGGUGGCAGCAGUCGAGAAUCAUUCACAAUGGGGGAAACCCUGAUGGUGCGACGCCGCGUGGGGGAAUGAAGGUCUUCGGUUUGUAAACCCUUGUCAUGUGGGAGCAAAUGAAAAAGAUAGUACCACAAGAAGAAGAGACGGCCAACUCUGUGGCAGCAGCCGCGGUAAUACAGAGGUCUCAAGCGUUGUUCGGAAUCACUGGGCGUAACGCGUGCGUAGGCUGUUUUGUAAGUCGUGUGUGAAAGGCGCGGGCUCAACCCGCGGACGGCACAUGAUACUGCGAGACUAGAGUAAUGGAGGGGUAACCGGAAUUCUCGGUGUAGGAGUGAAAUGCGUAGAUAUCGAGAGGAACACUCGUGGCGAAGGCGGGUUCCUGGACAUUAACUGACGCUGAGGCACGAAGGCCAGGGGAGCGAAAGGGAUUAGAUACCCUUGUAGUC